RNAcentral lists this ribosomal RNA (422 nucleotides) under uncultured bacterium. RNAcentral's name for it is "bacterial SSU rRNA". It matches the Rfam family "Bacterial small subunit ribosomal RNA", at positions 355 to 774 of the family's 1533-position model. The record is from RNAcentral.
UAGGGAAUAUUGGGCAAUGGACGGAAGUCUGACCCAGCCAUGCCGCGUGCAGGAAGAAGGCGCUCAGCGUUGUAAACUGCUUUUAUCGGGGAAGAACGGCAGUCCUGCGGGAUUGUGUGACGGUACUCGAGGAAUAAGCACCGGCUAACUCCGUGCCAGCAGCCGCGGUAAUACGGAGGGUGCGGGCGUUGUCCGGAUUUAUUGGGUUUAAAGGGUGCGUAGGUGGUUGAGUAAGUCUGGUUUGAAAGUCAGUCGCUUAACGAUUGAGGGUGGCUGGAUACUGCUGAACUUGAGUGAGCUGGAGGAAGGUGGAACGGGUUGUGUAGCGGUGAAGAGCAUAGAUAUGACCCAGAGCCCCAAUUGCGAAGACAACCUACUACGGAGUAAUUGACACUGAGGCACGAGAGCGUGGGGAGCAAACA